This 263-nucleotide ribosomal RNA is filed under the name uncultured Staphylococcus sp. Its description in RNAcentral is "partial 16S ribosomal RNA". It matches the Rfam family "Bacterial small subunit ribosomal RNA", at positions 524 to 786 of the family's 1533-position model. The record is from RNAcentral. Lineage: Bacteria; Bacillati; Bacillota; Bacilli; Caryophanales; Staphylococcaceae.
UACGUAGGUGGCAAGCGUUAUCCGGAAUUAUUGGGCGUAAAGCGCGCGUAGGCGGUUUUUUAAGUCUGAUGUGAAAGCCCACGGCUCAACCGUGGAGGGUCAUUGGAAACUGGAAAACUUGAGUGCGGAAGAGGAAAGUGGAAUUCCAUGUGUAGCGGUGAAAUGCGCAGAGAUAUGGAGGAACACCAGUGGCGAAGGCGACUUUCUGGUCUGUAACUGACGCUGAUGUGCGAAAGCGUGGGGAUCAAACAGGAUUAGAUACC